GGUGGCGAAGAUAGUCAGUGGUGAAAGGCCUGGGCUCAACCCAGGAACUGCCAUUGAUACUGCUUUGCUAGAGUCCGGGAGAGGAUAGCGGAAUUUCCAGUGUAGAGGUGAAAUUCGUAGAUAUUGGAAAGAACACCAGUUGCGAAGGCGGCUAUCUGGACCGGUACUGACACUGAGGUGCGAAAGCGUGGGGAGCGAACAGGAUUAGAUACCCUGGUAGUCCACGCCGUAAACGAUGAGUGCUAGUUGUUGGGGUCUUAGACUUCAGUGACGUAGCUAACGCGUUAAGCACUCCGCCUGGGGAGUACGGCCGCAAGGUUAAAACUCAAAGGAAUUGACGGGGACCCGCACAAGUAGUGGAGCAUGUGGUUUAAUUCGAAGAUACGCGCAGAACCUUACCAACACUUGACAUGUUCGUCGCGAGCCUAAGAGAUUAGGCUUUUCAGUUCGGCUGGACGAAACACAGGUGCUGCAUGGCUGUCGUCAGCUCGUGUCAUGAGAUGUUGGGUUAAGUCCCGCAACGAGCGCAACCCCUACCUUUAGUUGCCACCAUUAAGUUGGGCACUUUAAAGGAACUGCCAGUGAUAAGCUGGAGGAAGGUGGGGAUGACGUCAAGUCCUCAUGGCCCUUACGUGUUGGGCUACACACGUGCUACAAUGACACUUACAGUGGGAAGCUAAGUCGCGAGAUUAAGAUAAUCCCCAAAAUGUGUCUCAGUUCGGAUUGCUUCUGUAACUCGAGUACAUGAA
This 749-nucleotide ribosomal RNA is filed under the name uncultured marine bacterium. Its description in RNAcentral is "bacterial SSU rRNA". It matches the Rfam family "Bacterial small subunit ribosomal RNA", at positions 574 to 1324 of the family's 1533-position model. The record is from RNAcentral.